Molecule: ribosomal RNA, 373 nt
Filed under: uncultured organism
Description: bacterial SSU rRNA
Rfam family: Bacterial small subunit ribosomal RNA
Source: RNAcentral
CGGGGGGAGCAAGCGUUGUUCGGAUUUACUGGGCGUAAAGGGCGCGUAGGCGGCGUGACAAGUCACUUGUGAAAUCUCCGGGCUUAACUCGGAACGGUCAAGUGAUACUGUCGUGCUAGAGUACAGAAGGGGCAACUGGAAUUCUCGGUGUAGCGGUGAAAUGCGUAGAUAUCGAGAGGAACACCUGCGGCGAGGGCGGGUUGCUGGGCUGAUACUGACGCUGAGGCGCGAAAGCUAGGGGAGCGAACGGGAUUAGAUACCCCGGUAGUCCUAGCCUUAAACGAUGAAUGCUUGGUGUCUCGGGUUAUAAAGUCCCGGGGUGCCGUCGCUAACGCUUUUAGCAUUCCGCCUGGGGAGUACGGUCGCAAGACUG